This 251-nucleotide ribosomal RNA is filed under the name uncultured bacterium. RNAcentral describes it as "partial 16S ribosomal RNA". It matches the Rfam family "Bacterial small subunit ribosomal RNA", at positions 526 to 776 of the family's 1533-position model. The record is from RNAcentral.
CGUAGGGGGCAAGCGUUGUCCGGAAUUAUUGGGCGUAAAGAGCGUGUAGGCGGUCCGGUAAGUCGGCUGUGAAAGUCCAGGGCUCAACCCUGGGAUGCCGGUCGAUACUGCCGGACUAGAGUUCGGAAGAGGCGAGUGGAAUUCCCGGUGUAGCGGUGAAAUGCGCAGAUAUCGGGAGGAACACCUAUGGCGAAGGCAGCUCGCUGGGACGUUACUGACGCUGAGAAGCGAAAGCGUGGGGAGCAAACAGG